RNAcentral lists this long non-coding RNA (1291 nucleotides) under Cricetulus griseus (Chinese hamster). Its description in RNAcentral is "lncRNA (ENSCGRG00015038863.1)". The record is from RNAcentral. Lineage: Eukaryota; Metazoa; Chordata; Mammalia; Rodentia; Cricetidae.
GCUUCUUUUACAUCAUUUCCCAAAUGUAAAACAGGACUGAAGAGGACAGAGUGUGGCCUUUUGAAGAAAACUAGUUCAGGACCCAGUCUUUGUCUCUGAACACAGCAGCACACCUUACAUGGUUUCUGCUUCAUCAUCUAUAAAUGAGAACAACAGCUUUUCUGUUUGUUUCUCUCAUCUGACUGUUUGGGGUUCAAACCAGAAAAAUGGUAAGGCACUCUAUGGUCAGGAAAUAUGAAAGUAUUUCUACAUAGGUAAAUAAAAGAUGCAUGACAACGUUGCCGUGAAUGAGAUGCUUUGCAACUUGUCUUUUGCCUCAACACAACAGAGAUGCAACAACUUCCUGUCAGUAAUUGUGUUUCUGGGGAAUGGGGGUAAGAAACUAGGUGCAAAAACUGAAAGGUAUGAUGCAGGGGAUGUAAAAGCCACCCUCACCUCCACCCCCUGCCAGAACAAAAAGAGGGGGUAGAGAACAAAGAUUUUAGUCAGCUGCCUCAAUGGUGAAGAGAAAGUUUGCAGGUAGUAGUGAUCGCUCCCGGUGUGCCAUGGGCAGAAGAGAAUGUAGUCUCAGCUCCUGGUGGUGCCAAGAAGAGGAAUGAAGAAGUCUAUGCCAAUAUGGCCAGGGCUGCAAACAGAAUGAGUUUCGGGCAUGGAAAACCAAUAUCAUAACUAAUGCUGAAUUUCUCUCUUUUAUCCUAUGUUCAUUUUUUUUGUCUGUCCUCCAUUUAUUGUCUGUGUACUUGAAUUAUAUAAUUCUAUUUUUACUUACAUUUUCUAUUUUAUCUCUGUAUACCUAGUUCUCAGUGGUUGCUUCAUGCAUAGUUCAUGCAAAAGUCUGUGGAUUUUUGGAAGACAAUCAUUCCAUCAACAAUAACCAUCAGUCAUAAUUUAGAUCACUCAGGGAGAGAGUCUUUGUAUUUACACAUGUUUUUUUCUGGCAGAAUUAUUUCAUCCCAAUGUGCCUUGUUUCUAUUUGCAAAAUGGACUUUAGUUAUUCUUGUGGGGGGCUGAUUUUGAGGUUUUGGUUUGUUUGUGGCUUUGCUAUUCUUAAGAGUCUGUUUGCUAGCAAUAAACUGUCUUCCUUUGUGUGGUAAUGUCCUCAUCUCCCAUUUUUAAAGGAUGUUUUCACUGCAUUAAAGAAACACAUGGAAAAGGACUACUUUUCUUGGCCUUCCAGCCAUGGUUUCUGGGCUGGGAAUGCUGCUUUGAAUUGGUCUUCCACGUGUGUUUUUCUGGGGGCUCAGUAAUUUUGUUGUUGUUUUGUUUUUCAAGACAGGUUUUCUCUGUGUAG